UUGAUCCUGGCUCAGGACGAACGCUGGCGGCGUGCUUACACAUGCAAGUCGAGCGGAGAUUGCAUUUAUGUAAUCUUAGCGGCGGACGGGUGAGUAACGCGUAGGCAACUGCCUUGCACAGAGGGAUAACACCGGGAAACUGGUGCUAAUACCACAUGAUAUCAUAACAAGGCGUCUUGAAAUGAUCAAAGGAGAAAUCCGGUGCAAGAUGGGCCUGCGUCCGAUUAGUUAGUUGGUGAGGUAACGGCUCACCAAGGCGACGAUCGGUAGCCGAACUGAGAGGUUGAUCGGCCACAUUGGGACUGAGACACGGCCCAGACUCCUACGGGAGGCAGCAGUGGGGAAUAUUGCGCAAUGGGGGGAACCCUGACGCAGCAACGCCGCGUGAAGGAAGAAGGCCUUCGGGUUGUAAACUUUUUUGAUUGGGGAAGAAAAAAAUGACGGUACCCAAGGAACAAGCCACGGCUAACUACGUGCCAGCAGCCGCGGUAAUACGUAGGUGGCGAGCGUUGUCCGGAAUUACUGGGUGUAAAGGGCGUGUAGGCGGGAUUGUAAGUCAGAUGUGAAAUUCCAGGGCUUAACUCUGGAGGUGCAUCUGAAACUAUAAUUCUUGAGUGCUGGAGAGGAAAGCGGAAUUCCUAGUGUAGCGGUGAAAUGCGUAGAUAUUAGGAAGAACACCAGUGGCGAAGGCGGCUUUCUGGACAGUAACUGACGCUGAGGCGCGAAAGCGUGGGGAGCAAACCAGGAUUAGAUACCCUGGUAGUCCACGCUGUAAACGAUGGAUACUAGGUGUAGGAGGUAUCGA
This 805-nucleotide ribosomal RNA is filed under the name uncultured organism. Its description in RNAcentral is "bacterial SSU rRNA". It matches the Rfam family "Bacterial small subunit ribosomal RNA", at positions 13 to 835 of the family's 1533-position model. The record is from RNAcentral.